This 621-nucleotide ribosomal RNA is filed under the name uncultured Actinobacteridae bacterium. RNAcentral describes it as "bacterial SSU rRNA". It matches the Rfam family "Bacterial small subunit ribosomal RNA", at positions 252 to 866 of the family's 1533-position model. The record is from RNAcentral. Lineage: Bacteria; Bacillati; Actinomycetota; Actinomycetes.
GUGGGGUAACGGCCCACCAAGGCGAUGACGGGUAGCCGGUCUGAGAGGACGAUCGGCCACACUGGGACUGAGACACUGCCCAGACUCCUACGGGAGGCUGCAGUCGAGAAUCUUCCGCAAUGGGCGAAAGCCUGACGGAGCGACACCGCGUGCAGGAUGAAGGCCUUCGGGUCGUAAACUGCUGUCACGCUAUAGGAAAGCCAUGUCGUUAAUAGCUGCAUGGUUGACCAAAGCGAGAGGAAGCACCGGCUAACUCCGUGCCAGCAGCCGCGGUAAUACGGAGGGUGCUAACGUUGUUCGGAAUCACUGGGCAUAAAGCGCACGUAGGCGGUCUUCUAAGUUGGGUGUGAAAGCCCUCGGCUCAACCGAGGAAUUGCAUUCGAUACUGGAAGACUUGAGGACGGUUGGGGUGAGUGGAACUCCUGGUGGAGCGGUGAAAUGCGUAGAUAUCAGGAGGAACACCGGUGGCGAAAGCGGCUCACUGGACCGUAUCUGACGCUGAGGUGCGAAAGCUAGGGUAGCGAACGGGAUUAGAUACCCCGGUAGUCCUAGCCGUAAACGAUGGGCACUAGGUAGGGGGAAUGCCUAUGGUUCUCCCUGCCGUAGCAAAUGUGAUAAGUG